RNAcentral lists this long non-coding RNA (336 nucleotides) under Bos taurus (domestic cattle). RNAcentral describes it as "long non-coding RNA NONBTAT002667". Lineage: Eukaryota; Metazoa; Chordata; Mammalia; Artiodactyla; Bovidae. The record is from RNAcentral.
UAAUAACAGUAAUGUAUUAUGUUCUAUCAAAAUAGUAUUGGAAAAGGCUUCACUUAAAACUGAAGGAAAUACUUAUUAAUCAUGGGAAAAGAUAGUCUGGAAAAUGUAUAAUUCCAUUGAUGUUUAUUUGCACAGGUGAAUUCUUGAUAUUGUAACUCAGAUCCUUGAGAAGUAUCCAUUUUUUGUCUAAUUGAGGUAAAAACUAGGCCGUGUGAAGAAAUUUCAUAAAGUAACUUGUAUCUUUGUAUGUUUUAAACUAAAUGUAGCUCUGUGGUUACAAACUGUGAUUUUUGUCUUCAAGACCUGAAGAAUCCUUUGUGCUUCAGUGUGUAUCUG